CUCAACCCGGGAAUUGCAUUGCAUACUGGCGGGCUAGAGUACAGUAGAGGGAGGUGGAACGACCGGUGUAGCGGUGAAAUGCGUAGAGAUCGGUCAGAACACCAGUGGCGAAGGCGGCCUCCUGGACUGAUACUGACGCUGAGGCGCGAAAGCGUGGGGAGCAAACAGGAUUAGAUACCCUGGUAGUCCACGCCGUAAACGAUGAGAACUAGCCGUUGGGGCCUUCGGGCCUUGGUGGCGCAGCUAACGCGAUAAGUUCUCCGCCUGGGGAGUACGGCCGCAAGGCUAAAACUCAAAUGAAUUGACGGGGGCCCGCACAAGCGGUGGAGCAUGUGGUUUAAUUCGAUGCAACGCGAAGAACCUUACCGGCCCUUGACAUCCUCGGAAUCCUGCAGAGAUGCGGGAGUGCCUUCGGGAGCCG
RNAcentral lists this ribosomal RNA (421 nucleotides) under uncultured Gammaproteobacteria bacterium. RNAcentral describes it as "bacterial SSU rRNA". It matches the Rfam family "Bacterial small subunit ribosomal RNA", at positions 608 to 1029 of the family's 1533-position model. Lineage: Bacteria; Pseudomonadati; Pseudomonadota; Gammaproteobacteria. The record is from RNAcentral.